Molecule: long non-coding RNA, 796 nt
Organism: Asparagus officinalis (garden asparagus)
Lineage: Eukaryota; Viridiplantae; Streptophyta; Magnoliopsida; Asparagales; Asparagaceae
Exons: 4
Source: RefSeq, a predicted model, not a curated record
CGAGCUCGUCUUCAACCUCGUCUUCGAUCUUCAACAUCCGAGCUUCAACCUCGUUUCGAACUCGUCGAAGCUUCGUCUUCAACCUCCGAGCUUCAACCUCGUCUUCUAACUCGUCGGAGCUUCGUCUUCAACCUCCGAGCUUUGUCGUCAACCUCUGAGCUCGUCUUCAACCUCCGAUCUGUUCCUCGUCGGAGCUCGAACUCGUCGAAGCCUCUCGAUUCUCGAAGCCUUUGGGAGUCUGCUUCAUCCCUGUAACAAGGUACGCCCUGCUCCGUGGAAAAGCUCUUAUCACCCCCUCGAGCCCCGUUCGCUUUCUUGCCGCCCUUUUCCUCCUCUCCCUCUUCGUCUUCGAUCAGCAUACGAUCAGGCCAGCUAGGGUUUCGGAUUCAGCCCACCCCUCCUCGGCGAUUCGAACCACUUAGGGUUUCGUUGAGCAGUUCAGAAGGAGUCACGACUACGAAGAUGCAGCAUCAUCGUGAAGAGGAGGUUGUUGAUCUUGAGUCUUUUAGCAUUAUGGCUUUAUCACCUUUAGAUGGCCGAUAUUUGCAGAAAGUCAAGGAUUUGUACCCAUUCUUUAGUGAAUAUGGGUUAAUCCGUUACCGUGUAAUGGUUGAGGUAAAAUGGUUGCUAAAAUUAUCAGAAAUACCUGAAAUCAAGGAGGUUCAAAGCUUUAGCGAGAAUGCCAGGUCUUAUUUAGAAAGUAUAGUUAGUGGCUUCAGCAAAGCUGAUGCUCUGGAAGUGAAAAAGAUUGAAAAAGUAACUAACCACGAUGUUAAGGCAGUGGAAUACUUCUUGA